This 253-nucleotide ribosomal RNA is filed under the name uncultured bacterium. RNAcentral describes it as "partial 16S ribosomal RNA". It matches the Rfam family "Bacterial small subunit ribosomal RNA", at positions 524 to 776 of the family's 1533-position model. The record is from RNAcentral.
UACGUAGGGCGCAAGCGUUGUCCGGAAUUAUUGGGCGUAAAGAGCUCGUAGGCGGUCUGUUACGUCCGCUGUGAAAACCCAGGGCUUAACCCUGGGCUUGCAGUGGAUACGGGUAGACUAGAGGCAGGUAGGGGAGAAUGGAAUUCCCGGUGUAGCGGUGAAAUGCGCAGAUAUCGGGAGGAACACCGGUGGCGAAGGCGGCGAUCUGGGUCGAUACUGACGCUGAGGUGCGAAAGCGUGGGGAGCAAACAGG